AGCGAACGCUGGCGGCAGGCCUAACACAUGCAAGUCGAACGAACUCUUCGGAGUUAGUGGCGGACGGGUGAGUAACACGUGGGAACGUGCCUUUUGGUUCGGCAUAACUCAGGGAAACUUGUGCUAAUACCGAAUGUGCCCUUCGGGGGAAAGAUUUAUCGCCAUUAGAGCGGCCCGCGUCUGAUUAGCUAGUUGGUGAGGUAACGGCUCACCAAGGCGACGAUCAGUAGCUGGUCUGAGAGGAUGACCAGCCACACUGGGACUGAGACACGGCCCAGACUCCUACGGGAGGCAGCAGUGGGGAAUCUUGCGCAAUGGGCGAAAGCCUGACGCAGCCAUGCCGCGUGAAUGAUGAAGGUCUUAGGAUUGUAAAAUUCUUUCAACGGUGACGAUAAUGACGGUACCCGGAGAAGAAGCCCCGGCUAACUUCGUG
RNAcentral lists this ribosomal RNA (433 nucleotides) under uncultured bacterium. RNAcentral describes it as "partial 16S ribosomal RNA". It matches the Rfam family "Bacterial small subunit ribosomal RNA", at positions 29 to 507 of the family's 1533-position model. The record is from RNAcentral.